UACAGAGGUCCCAAGCGUUGUUCGGAUUCACCGGGCGUAAAGGGUGCGUAGGCGGUCGGGUAAGUCUGAUGUGAAAUCUCACAGCUUAACUGUGAAACUGCAUUGGAUACUAUCCGGCUCGAGGAAUGGAGGGGAGACUGGAAUACUUGGUGUAGCAGUGAAAUGCGUAGAUAUCAAGUGGAACACCAGUGGCGAAGGCGAGUCUCUGGACAUUUCCUGACGCUGAGGCACGAAAGCCAGGGGAGCAAACGGG
Molecule: ribosomal RNA, 253 nt
Filed under: uncultured bacterium
Lineage: Bacteria
Description: partial 16S ribosomal RNA
Rfam family: Bacterial small subunit ribosomal RNA
Source: RNAcentral